AAACUUGAGAGUUUGAUCCUGGCUCAGAACGAACGCUGGCGGCAGGCUUAACACAUGCAAGUCGAACGCCCCGCAAGGGGAGUGGCAGACGGGUGAGUAACGCGUGGGAAUCUACCCAGUUCUACGGAACAACUGAGGGAAACUUCAGCUAAUACCGUAUACGCCCUACGGGGGAAAGAUUUAUCGGAAUUGGAUGAGCCCGCGUAAGAUUAGCUAGUUGGUGGGGUAACGGCCUACCAAGGCGACGAUCUUUAGCUGGUCUGAGAGGAUGAUCAGCCACACUGGGACUGAGACACGGCCCAGACUCCUACGGGAGGCAGCAGUGGGGAAUAUUGGACAAUGGGCGCAAGCCUGAUCCAGCCAUGCCGCGUGAGUGAUGAAGGCCUUAGGGUUGUAAAGCUCUUUCAGUGGGGACGAUAAUGACGGUACCCACAGAAGAAGCCCCGGCUAACUUCGUGCCAGCAGCCGCGGUAAUACGAAGGGGGCUAGCGUUG
This 494-nucleotide ribosomal RNA is filed under the name Burkholderiaceae bacterium. RNAcentral describes it as "bacterial SSU rRNA". It matches the Rfam family "Bacterial small subunit ribosomal RNA", at positions 1 to 543 of the family's 1533-position model. The record is from RNAcentral. Lineage: Bacteria; Pseudomonadati; Pseudomonadota; Betaproteobacteria; Burkholderiales; Burkholderiaceae.